This 500-nucleotide ribosomal RNA is filed under the name uncultured bacterium. RNAcentral describes it as "partial 16S ribosomal RNA". It matches the Rfam family "Bacterial small subunit ribosomal RNA", at positions 30 to 523 of the family's 1533-position model. The record is from RNAcentral.
AUUGAACGCUGGCGGCAUGCCUUACACAUGCAAGUCGAACGGCAGCACGGAGCUUGCUCUGGUGGCGAGUGGCGAACGGGUGAGUAAUAUAUCGGAACGUACCCAAGAGUGGGGGAUAACGUAGCGAAAGUUACGCUAAUACCGCAUACGAUCUAAGGAUGAAAGCAGGGGACCGCAAGGCCUUGUGCUCCUGGAGCGGCCGAUAUCUGAUUAGCUAGUUGGUGAGGUAAAGGCUCACCAAGGCAUCGAUCAGUAGCUGGUCUGAGAGGACGACCAGCCACACUGGAACUGAGACACGGUCCAGACUCCUACGGGAGGCAGCAGUGGGGAAUUUUGGACAAUGGGGGCAACCCUGAUCCAGCAAUGCCGCGUGAGUGAAGAAGGCCUUCGGGUUGUAAAGCUCUUUUGUCAGGGAAGAAACGGUGAAGGCUAAUAUCCUUUGCUAAUGACGGUACCUGAAGAAUAAGCACCGGCUAACUACGUGCCAGCCGCCGCCGUAA